AGAGUUUGAUCCUGGCUCAGGACGAACGCUGGCGGCGUGCUUAACACAUGCAAGUCGAACGGAAAGGCCCUUCGGGGUACUCGAGUGGCGAACGGGUGAGUAACACGUGAGCAACCUGCCUUGGCUCUGGGAUAGCUCCGGGAAACCGGAAUUAAUACCGGAUAUGACCUCGGUUGACAUCUUCUGAGGUGGAAAGUUUU
RNAcentral lists this ribosomal RNA (200 nucleotides) under uncultured bacterium. Its description in RNAcentral is "partial 16S ribosomal RNA". It matches the Rfam family "Bacterial small subunit ribosomal RNA", at positions 8 to 211 of the family's 1533-position model. The record is from RNAcentral.